UUCCUCUAGAAAUGCAUGACCUACCCUGAGUUUUGGUGGGCCGUGCAUUUCUAGAACUCC
MicroRNA precursor from Chlorocebus sabaeus (green monkey), 60 nucleotides. Lineage: Eukaryota; Metazoa; Chordata; Mammalia; Primates; Cercopithecidae. The record is from Ensembl.